AUGAAUCCCCUGACGCAGGUGAAGCGGACGCAGGUGAUAAACCAGAAGGAGGCGGCGCUGGGCCUCAGCGAGGACGCCUCGUGGCACGCCAAGUUCAGGGGCUCUGCCUACGUCUUCGUCGGCGGCGUCCCCUUCGACCUCACCGAGGGCGACCUCCUCGCCGUCUUCGCGCAGUAUGGCGAGGUGGUCGACGUGAACCUCGUGCGCGACAAGGCCACCGGCAAAUCCAAGGGCUUCGCGUUCGUCGCGUAUGAGGAUCAGAGGAGCACGGUUCUUGCCGUAGAUAACUUGAAUGGGGCUAAGGUUCUUGGGAGGAUCAUCAGGGUUGACCAUGUGGAGAAGUACAAGAAGAAGGAGGAGGAGGACGAGGAGGAGCUGCAGAAGAAGAGGGAGGAGCGCGGCGUGUGCUAUGCUUUCCAGAAAGGCGAGUGCAACCGCGGCGAUGCGUGCAAAUAUUCCCAUGAUGAACAGAGAAAUGCAAACACUGGUUGGGGUUCUAAGGAGGAUGACCCAAAAUGGGAGCAUGACAGGCACCGUGGUCCACAAAAUAAGGGGGAAUCCCGUGGCAUCUGCUAUGCUUUCCAGAAAGGCGAAUGCAGUCGGGGAGAUUCCUGCAGAUUUUCGCAUGAUGAGCAGGUAGCUGUCCAGGGCCGUGGCGUCUGCUACGCUUUCCAGAAAGGCGAGUGCAGUCGCGGAGCUUCCUGCAGAUUUUCACAUGAUGAGCAGAGGAAUGCAAACACUGAUCGAGGUUCUAGGGAGGACAGCAGUGCAAGACGGCAGCAUGACCAUGAUCCACCAAAGAGGCACAAAAAUUUCCCUGACAGGAAUAAAGAAGAGGCGAGAUCAGGAGACAGGGAUGGUCAAACCUCAAGAUCAGAGUUGUGCAGGGACCGAGAUUCUAGGUCAAGGCAUGGUGAUAGAGACACAAAAGAGAGUGACAGGAACAGGCACGAGAAAUCCCCCGAGAGAUCAAGAGGCGACAGGCAGAGGGGUGAUGACAGGGGAAGAGAAGAAAGAUCAGACACAAGAGAUAGGGACAGGGACAGGCGGGAGAAAUCCCCUGAGAGAUCAAGAGGCGAUAGGCAGAGAGGCGAUGACAGGGGAAUAGAAGAAAGAUCAGAGAGCAAGCGGUCUAGGCACGAUAGAGAUUCUGGUGGCCGUUACGAAAGAAGGUCUGAUGAAGAGGAAGAACGGUACAGGAAAUCCCGGAGAUGA
RNAcentral lists this ribosomal RNA (1215 nucleotides) under Triticum aestivum (bread wheat). RNAcentral describes it as "partial small subunit ribosomal RNA". Lineage: Eukaryota; Viridiplantae; Streptophyta; Magnoliopsida; Poales; Poaceae. The record is from RNAcentral.